CACACACUCUCUCAGUCUCUUUCCUGCGACCCCGGCCCAAGAGGGAAACCACAACCACAACCACCCCCCACCUCCCCUCCUCCGCUCGCCAAAUCACAAACGCCGAAGAAGAGAGGAGACGAAAGGGGAUCGCCGCCGCCGCCGCCGCCGAGGAUGACGUCGAUGCUGUCCGCGUUCUCGUCGUGGUUCGUGAACCCGCGCCGCAACCCGCUGGCCCGCAUCCACAUGCUCACCAUCUCCAACCGCCUCAAGAACUACGGCCUGAGGUACGACGACCUGUACGACCCCUACUUCGAUCUGGACAUCAAGGAGGCGCUCGGCAGGCUGCCCCGGGAGGUGGUCGACGCCCGCCACCAGCGCCUCAAGCGCGCCAUGGACCUCUCCAUGAAGCACCAGUACCUCCCCGACGACGUCCGGGCACUGCAGACACCAUUCAAAAGCUAUUUGAGCGACAUGCUGGCUCUGGUGAAAAAGGAGGCAGCAGAGCGUAAAGCACUGGGAGCCCUUCCCCUCUACGAGAGAACCCUUCCUUGA
Molecule: ribosomal RNA, 534 nt
Filed under: Triticum aestivum (bread wheat)
Lineage: Eukaryota; Viridiplantae; Streptophyta; Magnoliopsida; Poales; Poaceae
Description: partial small subunit ribosomal RNA
Source: RNAcentral